CAAAAUAUAACAUUUCAUGCUACUAAUAUUAUUAAAUGAUUAAUAUAUUACUAAUUAUUAUUUAAAUGAAGAUGAAGAUAAAUGUAUAUAAAAAAUAUCUGGUAAAAUGUUCCAUCUAAUGACAUUUCAACCAAAUACACAAAAGGCCACAUUAAAAGUUAAAAUAGUUGUUUUUAACAAAUUACAACUCUAUGGACUUGCAUAGUGUAUUUCUAAGAGCUUUAGAAAUAUGUUUAACUUUUUUGUUCUUCUGUAGUAAAAGCUUUCAUGUGGAACAUCAAGGCUCGACAUUAAGCAUUGUGAUGUGCUUGUCCUUUGGACAAGUAAAUUGGUCAUUCACUUGUUCAAGUAAAAAAAAGUUACUCCAUAAAGAAAAAAGGACAUGUAUCGGUUACACGCUCAGGUAAUCACGUCAAAGUUUCGAUUGUAUGUUUUCUAAAAUUAUGACAGAUGGCCAACCUAAUAUUAUUAUACCUAUGCAAUCAACUAGAUUCUCUGGGACAGAAAUGUAAACUGCUCUGGGUAGAGGAGGUUAUUUUAUGUUACAUGUACACACAGUAGUGAAAUAAAGGAAAGCCUUCAUCACCAUCAUUUACAGCAAGGGUGCUCACACUUCUAUGGAAUAAGAUCUACUUUUCCAUCAUGUUACUGCAGCAAGAUCUACCAUACACAAUAUACAUGUUGUCAUAAUACCAAAAUUUCAGUAGUCUUUAGUGAAAUUUUAGGAUUUUUGAUACCAGCUUCAAUACCAAAACAAAUAAUAGGCUAACACUAACAAAUUUGUUAAUUAUAAAAUAAUUAAGUUAUUAUUCAAGAGUAGUAAACAGUCAGUAAUAAAACAACAAAAGAAAAGAAAUAUAUAUUUUUUUAAAACACUAUAGAAAAAAAAAAGCUGUGCUUUUUAACUGCUUUUAAAAAACAUUAACAGUAUCAAGUAUCAAUUAAACAUUCGGAAUGAAUUUGACAAAACUACUAUUAGUCUUUCCUAUAUGAAUAAUACGUUACUACUUUUAUACUAGAGUUAUACAAGUAAAGUUAGCCAGCCAAGAGCAGUGAAUGGUUUUGUCGUUUUCUUGUUAUUGUUGUUUAAUAUUAAGGAUACACUUCUCGGAGCACACUUGCAUGUAAAGCACGCCACACACACACACACAAACCUUCUGUCAGUCAAACAGUGCGCAGCUACUAGAUCGCAAGGGAAUGAUAAAAUUACGCGCUCUUGAUUUUUUCCAACAGCAGAGUAAGAAUAUAAAUGUUGCAAUAAGUGACACAGGCCUAUACUAUAUUACAAAUAUAGCCGGUUUUUUCAUUAUUGACAUUUUAAUCAGGCUACUUGUCCAGUCAGGCAACUAAAAUUCUCUUUCACUUGCCCCUUUAAAAAUCCACUUGACCCGGACGGUUAAUGUUGAGCCCUGGAACAACAUUAUUUGAUAGGUACCAAUUAACGUUAAUGAUUACCAAUAUGCUCUUGAAAUACCUUUAAAAGUUUUAUUUCUUUGAAAUGAAUGUUUUUCAUCAUUUACUCACCCGUAUGUUAUUCCAAACCUUUACGACUUCCACAGAAGACAGCACAUCAUAAGGUGUUGAACAACACGAGGAUGAGUAAAUGAAGACAUUUUUCAAUUUGGUCCUGCUCACCUCCAUAUCCUCUUCAUCCUCCUCUUCCUCAUCUGAGGGAUCCAUGCAUACUGGCAUCUUUAGUCUCUGCUCAAGACUGUCUUUCAUCGAAAUAUCUGCCAGCUCCAUUGCCUUACGGAUCACAGGAUUACCGCUGAAGAACACACCGCCUGAUUUGGCAUCUGCACUAUCAGAGCCUUGAAAGAACAACAAAAUAUAUUUAAAGCCUCGUGUUGGUGGCUCAUCAAAGAAGUGAACAUGAAGUCUCUGGUCUCGACCACGGCCCCUCAUCUGCUGUCCGCUCAGAGGUUGAGGAACAACCAUACAGGGCCACCAGGGAUGCCCUUCCAUCUUGGCCCAUACCAAAGUACC
This is a long non-coding RNA of Myxocyprinus asiaticus (Chinese sucker), 1986 nucleotides long. RefSeq lists it as uncharacterized. The record is from RefSeq and is a predicted model, not a curated record. NCBI's taxonomy places the organism in Eukaryota, Metazoa, Chordata, Actinopteri, Cypriniformes, Catostomidae. The transcript has 3 exons.